Molecule: long non-coding RNA, 1522 nt
Filed under: Melopsittacus undulatus (budgerigar)
Lineage: Eukaryota; Metazoa; Chordata; Aves; Psittaciformes; Psittaculidae
Description: lncRNA (ENSMUNG00000018679.1)
Source: RNAcentral
CCUUUGUCCUAGCUAAAUGUGAUGCGACCAUCAGGAUCUUCACGGUGGAGCUGGGAAUCCUCAAUCUGAGCCUCUGGGAGCUGGGGUGAAACAGCAUCAGAGGGGCUGAGAUGGGGAAGGGAAUGGGAAUAACGUGUAUCCAAUGGGAAUAACGUGAUCCAAUGGGAAUAACGUGAUCCAAUGGGAAUAACACAGAGCAGAAAGCACUUGGUAUUCCAGAUGAUGGGAUAACAAAGGAUGAGGGGCAGGAGUAAAUCCCUGUUGUUCUCCUUCCAUCCCAGGUGAGCAGCACACAAAGAUAGGUGGGUUCCACCUCCCUUAUCCCAGCACUGGGAUUUAGGGAAUUCCAGAGGCUCUUCCAUCCAUCCCAUUGUGUUUCCCAUCUCCUUCCCUAGGGGAACUCACUGCAGACAUCAAGGAAUGCGGCCGGAAGCUCCGGAAACAGGCUGCUGAGCUCGGUAAGGAAUUCCCUGCCCUCAACAUGGACAUUCCCAGGUGUUCCCAAUGGGAAUUCCCAGCCUGGUUGGGUUGAGGAUGGGUGCAAACAGUGGGAUAAGGGGGUGAUGGAUGGAUGGGACUGUGGGGGAUCCUAUAGGGGAUGGUGGGAUGGAUGGAAGGAUAUGGACCAGGAUGUAUGGUUACAUGGUGGGAUAUAGGAUGGGAUACAUGGUUCUAUGAUGGGAUGUAUCACAGGAUAUUGGAUUAGAUGGUGGGAUAUAGGAUGGGAUACAUGAUUCGAUGAUGGGAUGUAUCACAGGAUAUUGGAUUAGAUGGUGGGAUAUAGGAUGGGAUACAUGGUUCUAUGAUGGGAUGUAUAACAGGAUAUUGGAUUAGAUGGUAGGAUAUAGGGAUACAUGAUUCGAUGAUGGGAUGUAUCACAGGAUAUAGGAUUAGAUGGUGGGAUAUAGGGAUACAUGAUUCUAUGAUGGGAUGUAUGACAGGAUAUUGGAUUAGAUGGUGGGAUAUAGGAUGGGAUACAUGAUUCUAUGAUGGGAUAUAUAACAGGAUAUUGGAUUAGAUGGUGGGAUAUAGGAUGGGAUACAUGGUUCUAUGAUGGGAUGUAUCACAGGAUAUUGGAUUAGAUGGUAGGAUAUAGGAUGGGAUACAUGAUUCUAUGAUGGGAUGUAUCACAGGAUAUUGGAUUAGAUGGUGGGAUAUAGGAUGGGAUACAUGGUUCUAUGAUGGGAUAUAUAACAGGAUAUUGGAUUAGAUGGUGGGAUAUAGGAUGGGAUACAUGGUUCUAUGAUGGGAUGUAUGACAGGCUAUUGGAUUAGAUGGUAGGAUGGACGGAUCAUAUGAUAGAUUCCAUAGGAGGUUCCAUGACUCCAUGACACCAUAGGAUCACUAUCCCCCCCGAUCCCGAUCCCAAGCAGCACUAGGGAUCAGAUCCCAGCUCCAGGAAACCCAUUGGAAGAGCUCAUUUGGGUUCAUUUCUGUCUCUUUGCCCUUUGCAGAGGAACGGGAUCUGAUCAUCUGUGAGUAUUCCCAGCUCCAUCCCACUGCUGUUCCUAGGGAUCAGCAA